UUCCCCUACGGGACGCAGCAGUAGGGAAUUUUCGUCAAUGGGCGCAAGCCUGAACGAGCAAUGCCGCGUGAACGAGGAAGGUCUUCGGAUCGUAAAGUUCUGUUGAAGGGGAAAAAGAGCGGAGAGAGGAAAUGGUCUCCGAUUGAUAUUACCCUUCGAGGAAGUCACGGCUAACUACGUGCCAGCAGCCGCGGUAAUACGUAGGAGGCGAGCGUUAUCCGGAAUGAUUGGGCGUAAAGGGUGCGUAGGCGGCCUGCUAAGUCUGGAGUGGAAGGUACCGGCUCAACCGGUACAGGGCUCGGAAA
RNAcentral lists this ribosomal RNA (305 nucleotides) under uncultured bacterium. RNAcentral describes it as "bacterial SSU rRNA". It matches the Rfam family "Bacterial small subunit ribosomal RNA", at positions 334 to 632 of the family's 1533-position model. The record is from RNAcentral.